AUUGAACGCUGGCGGCAUGCCUAACACAUGCAAGUCGAGCGGAUGAAGGGAGCUUGCUCCUGGAUUCAGCGGCGGACGGGUGAGUAAUGCCUAGGAAUCUGCCUUGUAGUGGGGGAUAACGUCCGGAAACGGGCGCUAAUACCGCAUACGUCCUGAGGUAGAAAGUGGGUGAUCUUCGGACCUCACGCUAUCAGAUGAGCCUAGGUCGGAUUAGCUAGUUGGUGGGGUAAAGGCCUACCAAGGCUACGAUCCGUAACUGGUCUGAGAGGAUGAUCAGUCACACUGGAACUGAGACACGGUCCAGACUCCUACGGGAGGCAGCAGUGGGGAAUAUUGGGCAAUGGACGAAAGCCUGAUCCAGCCAUGCCGCGUGUGUGAAGAAGGUCUUCGGAUUGUAAAGCACUUUAAGUUGGGAGGAAGGGCAGUAAGUUAAUACCUUGCUGUUUUGACGUUACCAACAGAAUAAGCACCGGCUAACUUCGUG
RNAcentral lists this ribosomal RNA (484 nucleotides) under uncultured bacterium. RNAcentral describes it as "partial 16S ribosomal RNA". It matches the Rfam family "Bacterial small subunit ribosomal RNA", at positions 30 to 507 of the family's 1533-position model. The record is from RNAcentral.